Long non-coding RNA from Amblyraja radiata (thorny skate), 251 nucleotides. RefSeq lists it as uncharacterized. The record is from RefSeq and is a predicted model, not a curated record. Lineage: Eukaryota; Metazoa; Chordata; Chondrichthyes; Rajiformes; Rajidae. The transcript has 3 exons.
UUCGCAAGAACGCCAUGAAAUGUGCUCUCAGGUGGCAAGUGUAUGGUCAUAGAGUCAUACAGUGUGGAAACAGCCCUUCAGCCCAACAUGUCCACACCAACCAACAUGUCCCGUCUACACUAUUCCCAGCUGCCUGCGUUUGGCCCAUAUUCCUCUAAAACCUAUCCUAUCCAUGUACCUGUCUAAAUGUUUCUUAAACAUUGUGAUCAUACCUGUCUCAACUGCCGCUUCCGGCAGCUCAUACUAUACAU